Molecule: long non-coding RNA, 270 nt
Filed under: Nicotiana benthamiana
Lineage: Eukaryota; Viridiplantae; Streptophyta; Magnoliopsida; Solanales; Solanaceae
Description: long non-coding RNA (NBEN_LNC002200)
Source: RNAcentral
AGAAUGAUCCCCCAGUUCUGAACUUGCCUGCUCCAUCUGUUCCUAGCCCAAGCGAUCCUGUUACAGCGGCGGCCGAGGGUGCCACUAUCCCUCCUGCCAAUGCCCCUAAUCCUGAUGUUGCUCCGGCUUCCGAUCCCGGCCUCUCUGAUGGGGACCUUAGGGGAGCUAUUCGUAUGUUUACCCAGUUAGUGGCCGCUCAGGCCCAGCGAUCUCAUGAUGUCCCUGUGUCUUCCAGUAGACAUGGAGAUUCCUCCAGCUCUAGAGUUCAUC